RNAcentral lists this signal recognition particle RNA (86 nucleotides) under uncultured Psychrobacter sp. RNAcentral's name for it is "Bacterial small signal recognition particle RNA". It matches the Rfam family "Bacterial small signal recognition particle RNA", at positions 6 to 89 of the family's 97-position model. From Rfam's summary of the family: The signal recognition particle (SRP) is a universally conserved ribonucleoprotein involved in the co-translational targeting of proteins to membranes. Archaeal SRP consists of a 7S RNA and homologues of the eukaryotic SRP19 and SRP54 proteins. Lineage: Bacteria; Pseudomonadati; Pseudomonadota; Gammaproteobacteria; Moraxellales; Moraxellaceae. The record is from RNAcentral.
UGGUAGCCUCGCAACAUUGUUCUAUGAAUCCCGCCAGGACCGGAAGGUAGCAACGGUAAUAGAUUCAUUGUGUGCCGAGGAUGUGC